UGGGGAAUAUUGCACAAUGGGCGCAAGCCUGAUGCAGCCAUGCCGCGUGUGUGAAGAAGGCCUUCGGGUUGUAAAGCACUUUCAGCGAGGAGGAAGGUGGUGAGCUUAAUACGCUCAUCAAUUGACGUUACUCGCAGAAGAAGCACCGGCUAACUCCGUGCCAGCAGCCGCGGUAAUACGGAGGGUGCAAGCGUUAAUCGGAAUUACUGGGCGUAAAGCGCACGCAGGCGGUUUGUUAAGUCAGAUGUGAAAUCCCCGGGCUCAACCUGGGAACUGCAUUUGAAACUGGCAAGCUAGAGUCUCGUAGAGGGGGGUAGAAUUCCAGGUGUAGCGGUGAAAUGCGUAGAGAUCUGGAGGAAUACCGGUGGCGAAGGCGGCCCCCCUGGACGAAGACUGACGCUCAGGUGCGAAAAGCGUGGGGCAGCAAACAGGAUUAGAUACCCUGGUAGUCCAGCGCUGUAAAACGAUGUCGAUUUGGAGGUUGUGCCCUUGAGGCGUGGCUUCCGGAGCUAACGCGUUAAAUCGACCGCCUGGGGAGUACGGUCGCAAGAUUAAAAACUCAAAUGAAUUGACGGGGUCAUAGCUGUUUCCU
This 592-nucleotide ribosomal RNA is filed under the name uncultured bacterium. RNAcentral describes it as "partial 16S ribosomal RNA". It matches the Rfam family "Bacterial small subunit ribosomal RNA", at positions 355 to 1375 of the family's 1533-position model. The record is from RNAcentral.